RNAcentral lists this ribosomal RNA (429 nucleotides) under Fusobacteriota bacterium. Its description in RNAcentral is "Fusobacteria bacterium partial 16S ribosomal RNA". It matches the Rfam family "Bacterial small subunit ribosomal RNA", at positions 355 to 776 of the family's 1533-position model. Lineage: Bacteria; Fusobacteriati; Fusobacteriota. The record is from RNAcentral.
UGGGGAAUAUUGCGCAAUGGGCGAAAGCCUGACGCAGCGACGCCGCGUGAGGGAUGAAGGUUUUCGGAUCGUAAACCUCUGUCAGAAGGGAAGAAACCGCACUGUGCUAAUCAGCAGUGCCUUGACGGUACCUUCAAAGGAAGCACCGGCUAACUCCGUGCCAGCAGCCGCGGUAAUACGGAGGGUGCAAGCGUUAAUCGGAAUUACUGGGCGUAAAGCGCACGUAGGCUGCUUUGUAAGUCAGGGGUGAAAUCCCACGGCUCAACCGUGGAACUGCCUUUGAUACUGCUUAGCUUGAAUCCGGGAGAGGGUGGCGGAAUUCCAGGUGCAGGAGUGAAAUCCGUAGAUAUCUGGAGGAACAUCAGUGGCGAAGGCGGCCACCUGGACCGGUAUUGACGCUGAGGUGCGAAAGCGUGGGGAGCAAACAGG